UUUUUUUUUUUUUCAGGAAAGGAUUUUGUAUGUGUGUGAAAAAGUCAACUGCUCAGGCCCUUGUCUAACGGGGCUGUUUUAUCCCAGUUGUCUGACAGCGGGGACCUGCCCUCAUGUUUACGGGCAGAAAAGAAGCCCCAGGAGGGUGUAAGGAGAAGCAGAUUUGGAGGGUUCCCCAGCCCCCUCCUCGCUUCCCUCGGGCCAGCCCUCACCACAGUGGCUUUGGCCCACAGCUGCCCUAGCCCAGGGACCCAGUGGCAGACAGAAACAGACCUACUUUGGUUUCCAUGGCAACUGCAGGCAUUGGGAGGCCAACCGAGUGAGCCGCAGCCAAACGAGGCAGCUGGUUUGAAGGGUGUUGAUCUCUCUGCGGACCAGCAAGGCAGAACCACCAGGGAUCAGAGGCAGCAACCAAGCCAGGAGGAACCACAGGAGCUGGGCAUACAAAAUCCACGGGGACCUGUCUGCACAGCUUGCAUGUUUGUGGUGCACACACAUGCACCCAUGCUCACCCACUCCCCUCUUUCACUCACCCACCCAGGCAGAGGCACAUGCUGAGAAAUGCACAUCUAUGCUCCACUAUGAACACAUAGAGACCCAUGCUCACAAACUCAGACACCUGUUCACAUCAAAUACACUCCAGUUUUACAUCUCGAACCAUUUUCACACUCAAAAAUGCAGACUCAUGUGCAUUCAGACAUAAUAUACACACUGUACACCCAGAAGCAUCUACAUUUACCCCAGCAUGCAUCCGCUACACACACACACCAUCAUGCACACUGCACACCAUACUCUCAUUCACACACACACACACACACACAAACAAACCCACAUUUACAGGGAGAAAUGCAUGCUCAUACUCACCUGUGUACUCACAGAGACACCCAUACAUAUGUGUGUAUACACACACACACACACAUACACACACACAGAUUGGAACAGCUAAAAGUUAAAACUCAGACUCUGUGAAACCCAAGCUUUCCAUGACGACUCAGAAAUGAGACGUUCAGGGCUGCAGCAGCACCCCAAAAUCCCAGAAACAACCCUCCCGGCUUGCUGCCUCAUCAAUAGCACCCACCACCGAGAAAGGCCUUUAAUCUUCUCUGUUUAUAUUCUCUGAGCAGUUUUUUUGUGUGUGUCCUCCAUAUGUGUCAAAGGACAGAAAUCUAACAAUCUUGUGUCGUUCAGACUUGAAAUAAAAAUUUGUAUGAUAGACUCACAGAGAUGAACACUCCUUUAAGACACUAUAUGUGUCCCACUCCAUAAGGAGGCUGGCCCAUCCCUGGGCAUGCUUGGGUACAUUCGCUGCCUGAUUGCCCCCAAAAGGCAGAAGAGGCUGCUGGAGGGACAAAUUCACAGAGCAUGGAGAAACUUGGGAGAUUAGCUCCUCACCUGCUGUGAACACCUGACAAACAUGGCCUCCAUCUACCCAGACCCUUGAGAGUCAGAGGUCACAGCAGUGAGGUCCUGGUGGGGCGGACGGGGGACGUUUGGUUAAGAAUCUCCUGAAUCAUAUUUGAAGAUUCAGGACAUGAUUUCAAUAUUGCCCUAUUGAUCACUUAAUCAAUGUGCAGAAAUUGGAAGAUGUAUGUACAAGUGUACAUUCCUAUUAGAAUAAUAACAGCUAAUACUAAGCACAGAAAGGUCAAUAAAUGUGAAGCUAUUGUUAUUAUGAUGAUUUUAGAUUGAUUACAAAAAUAACCUAGUCCUUAAAAAUGGAGAGUUGUUGAGAUGAACCUUAUUCCAUAGGAUUUUUAAUUCAAUAAACCCCUCUCAAUGUUAGCAGCAGUGGUAUUAAGCACUGCACAGUACUUUACAGAACAGCUUUAUGUACACCAGCUCAUUGCAUUGCUGAUCAUCUCCUGUGUGCCAGGCACCAUACUGGUGGGAGUGGGGGCACUCACUGAUUAAGAAGACCCAGACCCAGGCCUUGAAGAGCCCAAGAUCUAGCCAGGAAGGGGUGGGAGAGCAGUGGAAAUAUAUAAAACCUAGCUUCUUGUUAUCAUAAAGGCCAAUGCAAAGGGCAUUCUGCAAGGGAUGGGAGCCAUUCACUGAUAGGGAAGCAUCAGGAAGCAGGGGAGAAUAAAAGAAAGCCACAGGGAGUAAGUCACUUGUGCACCACUGAAUGCACAAGUAGGUUCAGACAAGCCAAAUUCUGGAAAGGGGCACUGGAUUCCCAGAACCGUGUGUGGAUGGUCAACCUGAGGAGCUAGAGGGAGGGGUCCUGGCAGGAACAGGAGAGAAGAAACAGCAAAGGCAGACUGAAAUCAGAUUCAGAAAGGCCUUGCAGAGCAAACCAAGGAGUUUGGCUCUAGAGUAUCAUUAGAUGUGUGAGCGGGUCAGACCUGUGCUGGGGAGAAACACUGCAGGUAGCUGGGUGCUGGACAUGAGGAUGUGGAAUACAGGAUGGAGAUGUGGGAGCCUAGGGACCAGACACCACAGUUAAAAUUGCACCCUCCAGUGAACAGAGCUGAAGCCCCCAGUCGGCACCCCUUGCACCUAGCUUAGUGCCUGACCCAUAGAAGGCCCUCCAUAAAUGUUUGAACUGUAUGGAGCCGCAGGGUCAUGCAAAGAAAAUAGAAUUAAAAGUCGGGUGACUGGGAGAGCUAGUUCAGGCCCACUAUUGACUGGCUGCAGGACCCUGGGCCACAGAUUUAACCUCUCCUGUUCUCGAUUUCCACGCUGGUAAAACGAAUCCAAUAAUGCCCUGAUCUCCCUGGUUUAAGCUGUUCUGAGGCUCACAAGAGGGUACAGACUGAAGGUGCAGAGCACCAGCCCAAGCGGGGGACCAUGCAGGCCCGGCCGCCGGCACCCAGGGAUCGCCUUGCUCCGGGACCAUAUGCAGGCAGAGCUGGCGCAGCCGUCAGCAAUUACCUGCGCCCCAAACCAGACACCUGCGCUCCACUUCCGCACAGGCAGAUGGUGCAGUCUGGCCGCGCGCCAGGGUGUACGUAGGCUCCGCCCUGGGACGCUCAUGCCGGUGCCUCGCCACAGACAGCAGCCCACAGCAGCCCACAGACAGAUGCAGUGGAGAGGGGGUCUGGAGCACGGGGCAGCCAAACUGUGGCACACCCAGGGUACCCCAUCCCUUCUACAAACAGCAUCCCUCUCCCAAGGUCAAGGGAGCAGCAAGGCCAACUGCUAAGAUGCUAACACUACUUCAGCAGUGAGUGGAGAAGGUAUCUGCUCCCUGCUUCCCACAUGAAGAAACUGAAACUGAGAGAGAUUUGGUGAUUUUCAGCUGGACAAAAGGUAUUGAGAGAUGGAGCGAGAGGAAACCCAAGUCUCAACUCCAAGUCCACUAUUUUUCUGUGGUCUGGUGCUGCUCUGGUUCCACAGACCACUGUGGCCUCUACUGGGCAGGGGACAGGAGUUCUCCCCGCACCCAAAGCCAGCUGUGCCCCCUCCAGCCCAGUCACUUGGCCAUCCCUCAUGCUAUUCCACAUACCCUAAGGUUACUGGGGAUCCAAGCCAAGUGUAAAUCAGUAGAUUAAGUCAUGAAAUACACACAAAAGAAUGCCUUUUUAAGAAAAAUAGUUGCCUUGUUCCCAACUCUUCUUGUCCUCCGUGACUGGAAAUGAUUGGAAGCUGAUCCUACUACUAUACCAUUUUAGAUUCUGCUGCUUGGAAAGAACCUUUAAAGAAAUCUGGUCUAAAUGCCUCCCCUGGAUAGGCAUAUCUCUGGGUACAACAUCAUCACCAAGUGCUCAUCCAGCCUUAACUCACACACCUCCCCAAACCCUGAGCUCAUCAUUACCUCUCUGCCCAACUCUGGUGAUUAGAAAGUCCUUGCUUCUCUUUAGCUGAAACCCAUGAGACUCUGUAAGGAUCUAAUGGUCUCUGCUGGGGUCACAAGAGCAUACCAAUCUCCCCUUCGUUUCACACCCAGUUGACAUUAGGAGGCAGCCUUCUCUCUUGCUGACUCAGUGGUCCCAUGGCCUUCAACCGUCCCUCAGAAGGCACACUUGUGAUUCUUUGCUCAGCCUCCAGACACACUAUUGUGGGGUCCUGUUCUUCAGAGAGUAGCAUGAACCUCUGCUCUCACAACACCUAGAACAGUGUUAAGCUCACUCCAUGUGCCAUCUCAUUUAUUCCUGACAACAGCCCCAGGAGGUAGAUAUGAUUAUUGCCCCCAUUAUGCAGAGGAGGAAACCGAGAAGUAAAGGAACAGAACAUGAGCUACACAGCAAGAGGCAGAGCAGCCUCUGACCAUCUCUGCUGUCCUGUGGUCCCCAGAGGAGAGCUGUAAUCUUCUCCAGCAGCUCCAGCAGAGCCACAGGAGUCCAGCACAUCUGGUUUUGCAUCCCAUUCUCUCCCACUUAUUACUGUGCCACCCAGGCAAGCCAUGUCUCUGGGUCACCUGGUCUGUAAUAGGAGGAUCCACCUGCUAGGCUGUUAGGGAGAUUAAAACAGCUUUAGAGACAUGCCCCAAGGCCUGAUAUUCCACUUUAGCUCCCAUUCCCCCCUCCAGGAGACCCAUUGCAACUGGGCUCAUGGGAACUAAAACAGUGAAGAAACUGGUGCCACAACCUAUGGCACUGGGGCCUUCUCCAGGAGGGAGCCAGGUUCAAGUCUCUAGAUCCCCCACCCGGCCUAGAGUUACUCUCUAAAAUGAUUUGUCAAGUGACAAGCAAAAAUAUAUUACCAAUUUAAGAGUGUGAUUUGCCUGCAACUUUUUAAUCCUCGGGCUGUUGUUGAAUAGAUUAAAGUGUCUGCUUUGAUCCAUGCAUUUAGAUGGAAACAUAAAUAUAGCCAUCACUUACUCUCUCAGCCGCCAGGAUGGGUGUCAUGCUGCAUCACGCUGGCUUCCGACC
RNAcentral lists this long non-coding RNA (4814 nucleotides) under Canis lupus familiaris (dog). Its description in RNAcentral is "lncRNA (ENSCAFG00845004383.1)". Lineage: Eukaryota; Metazoa; Chordata; Mammalia; Carnivora; Canidae. The record is from RNAcentral.